ACACACACACACACACACACACACACACACACACACACACCAGGCCACUGAGAACCAUAGGAGACACUAAAUCAGUGUGUGUUCGUCUUCACGGAGAUUUCUACCUGAGUAAGCAAAACGGUAUCAUAUUAAGCAUGAAAGGUUUAGGUGGUAGGAACCUGUAGUCUUUUUCAUGAAAGGUUUAGGUGGUAGGAACCUGUAGUCUUUUUCAUGAAAGGUUUAGGUGGUAGGAACCUGUAGUCUUUUUCAUGAAAGGUUUAGGUGGUAGGAACCUGUAGUCUUUUUCAUGAAAGGUUUAGGUGGUAGGAACCUGUAGUCUUUUUCAUGAAAGGUUUAGGUGGUAGGAACCUGUAGUCUUUUUCAUGAAAGGUUUAGGUGGUAGGAACCUGUAGUCUUUUUCAUGAAAGGUUUAGGUGGUAGGAACCUGUAGUCUUUUUCAUGAAAGGUUUAGGUGGUAGGAACCUGUAGUCUUUUUCUUGAAAGGUGGGCUCGGAUAUGAAGACUGGGUUUUACUACCACCUUCACCAUAAUCUUACCAGGUAGGCUAUCGACAAUACUUGAAUUUUACAACAACUUGGAAAGACAUGGUGGAAAAGAUGAUACAAUACAUAUUGGUGGUCCAAUGGUGGAGAUGCUGAAAGACAGAUUGGCCUGGUAAUCUCCUCUUGCACUGGGGCAGGGCGGGUCUCCUCUCCUCUGGUAUCCCACAGCGAGCCAAACAGUCCACUGGCCAUCAGUCCAGAGGAAAUCCUGUCCCCUUUAUAACAGCUAGCAGGCCAGAACAACACCGCCUCUACAAUAACAAGCAAACACCGCCUCUACCCUUCCCUAACCACACGUACAAACACUAUGAAUGCCUAAUGCUCCUCUGCUGGAGAAUGCUUUCAUGUGCUAGAACAAUAGAGAACAUUUUAGAGAUUAUAUAAUCAACAUAAUCUAGAAUCUGAGCCCUGGAUAUUCUAAAAUAGGCUACAUCCAAGAAUACCAACAUUCUAGAAGGCCAUUAUUGCCUUUGCCUUGUGUAGUCUGCACUGGGGCCAAUGUGUUCUGCUGUCAACCGGAAGAACUACUCAGCCUUUAGACUAAAGAAAGAAGGAGGUCAGAGCGAGGCAGACUAAAAUGGUGCCUGGAACGCCCACCAGAGCACUAGAGCUUACCCAAGAGCCUAUUUCUGAAGUGAAGUAGGCCAUAUAUUCCUGCCUGGGUACUGUAACCUUGAACCUGUCUGAGGACGGGAAGUGUGUGUGUGUGGAACAUCAGCGGGC
Molecule: long non-coding RNA, 1265 nt
Organism: Oncorhynchus keta (chum salmon)
Lineage: Eukaryota; Metazoa; Chordata; Actinopteri; Salmoniformes; Salmonidae
Exons: 3
Source: RefSeq, a predicted model, not a curated record